CCCCAAGAUGAGAUUUCCCAUUUCUUCGGAAAGUAAGAUCCCUGAAAGAUGAUCAGGUAGAUAGUUUGGAGUGGAAGUGUAGCGAUACAUGGAGCGGACAAAUACUAAUCGAUCGAGGACUUAACCAAAA
RNAcentral lists this ribosomal RNA (130 nucleotides) under Listeria monocytogenes. RNAcentral's name for it is "partial 23S ribosomal RNA". It matches the Rfam family "Bacterial large subunit ribosomal RNA", at positions 2797 to 2925 of the family's 2925-position model. The record is from RNAcentral. Lineage: Bacteria; Bacillati; Bacillota; Bacilli; Caryophanales; Listeriaceae.